Molecule: non-coding RNA, 17 nt
Filed under: Gossypium hirsutum (cotton)
Lineage: Eukaryota; Viridiplantae; Streptophyta; Magnoliopsida; Malvales; Malvaceae
Source: RNAcentral
AAGUAGGCACCAUCAAU